This 658-nucleotide long non-coding RNA is filed under the name Danio rerio (zebrafish). RNAcentral's name for it is "lncRNA si:dkey-250a19.1 (ENSDARG00000097995.3)". Lineage: Eukaryota; Metazoa; Chordata; Actinopteri; Cypriniformes; Danionidae. The record is from RNAcentral.
GUUAGCAAAACAGUCCGACAGGGAUUCGACUCUGAAUUUACCUGAAAGUUUAACGUUAAGUUACUCACGAUGAAGUUAUUCGAGUAUUUAUUUGUUACAUAUAACAGAAACUGUGCACUUCAGAAACAAGCCAUAAUAAUAGCGCUGAAUGUUUAACAGUGACAAAAACCAAACAAGGAAAUCAUCUUGUUGUGCGGACAGUGGACACAGAUUUUCCCUGUGAAAAAAUUAUCAGCCAUCUCUCCUGUACUGUUGACUCACGGGGAGCGGCAGUGGUCAAAGGUGUGGUUAACGGCUUAACUCGACGUCCCAAAAGAUCGGUCACACACUCCUUAAAGUGGCAUCGCCUGAAGGGCACUGAUAACACGCAUCCUGCGUUCCUAUUGGUUGAUGUCCAGAAAACCAGCAAUCUCACAUGGAAGAAUCUGUACAUUAGAGGAAAGCUGUCAGGUAUUGAGAGGAGAAGAGGGGGGCUGCCCGCUGCUGUGCCGGCAUUCGCCGCGACUCACGCCCACCUCCGAGUCACAUCUGGUGCAGGGAGCGAGCGCUCCGAUAAGUGAACCGAAGCCGAUGGUGCGCCACACAGAUGUUGCCCCCACUACUUUCUCCUCUAAGUCUUCCAAAUCUCCUUGAGAGAGUCGCACACACUUUGGCCUCC